UUAAUACUCCCUCUGUCCCAAAAAGCUUGUCUUAGAUUUGUCUAGAUACAGAUGUAUCUAGACACGUUUUAGUGUUCGAUACAUCCAUAUCUAGAUAAAUCUAAGACAAGUUAUUUGGGACGGAGGUAAUAUUAA
Non-coding RNA from Triticum aestivum (bread wheat), 135 nucleotides. Lineage: Eukaryota; Viridiplantae; Streptophyta; Magnoliopsida; Poales; Poaceae. The record is from Rfam.